RNAcentral lists this ribosomal RNA (253 nucleotides) under uncultured bacterium. RNAcentral describes it as "partial 16S ribosomal RNA". It matches the Rfam family "Bacterial small subunit ribosomal RNA", at positions 524 to 776 of the family's 1533-position model. The record is from RNAcentral.
UACGUAGGGCGCAAGCGUUGUCCGGAAUUAUUGGGCGUAAAGCGCACGCAGGUGGCUGGGUAAGUCGAUUGUGAAAGCCCUGGGCUUAACCUGGGAAUUGCAGUCGAUACUACUCAGCUAGAGUAUGGGAGAGGGUAGUGGAAUUCCCGGUGUAGCGGUGAAAUGCGUAGAUAUCGGGAGGAACAUCAGUGGCGAAGGCGGCUACCUGGCCCAAUACUGACACUCAGGUGCGACAGCGUGGGGAGCAAACAGG